Molecule: long non-coding RNA, 386 nt
Organism: Salvelinus namaycush (lake trout)
Lineage: Eukaryota; Metazoa; Chordata; Actinopteri; Salmoniformes; Salmonidae
Exons: 3
Source: RefSeq, a predicted model, not a curated record
UUACUAUUGAAUAUUCUGAGAACAUGGUAACCACAUUCUGGUAACACUGCAACGAACUGUGCGCCAGCCUGGCCUUCGCCGGCUCCUCGUCUGAAUAUUGUUACCUGCAACAGAUAACAAGAACAGCCAACAGAGCCACCGCCUGGAUCGCUGGAUUCGACCUCGAGUGGUCCAGGGCUGGAGGAACCUCGCAUGUGGCACACAAUACCCAUUGUGCAUGUUAGACCAUAAAAUGCUUCACAAUGUUGACUACCUGGUUAGCAACACACAAUUCAAUGCAUGAAGAUUUCUAACUGCUUUGAACAUUUGCAUUAUUUUACUGUAUAAUACUUUAAAUAAGUGUUCGCCAACGGGUUAAAUAUGUUGUAAUUUCUAAUAAAAAUCGA